Molecule: ribosomal RNA, 253 nt
Filed under: uncultured bacterium
Lineage: Bacteria
Description: partial 16S ribosomal RNA
Rfam family: Bacterial small subunit ribosomal RNA
Source: RNAcentral
UACGGAGGGUGCAAGCGUUAUCCGGAUUCACUGGGUUUAAAGGGUGCGUAGGUGGGUUGGUAAGUCAGUGGUGAAAUCUCCGUGCUUAACAUGGAAACUGCCAUUGAUACUACUGAUCUUGAAUUUUCAGGAGGUAAGCGGAAUAUGUCAUGUAGCGGUGAAAUGCUUAGAUAUGACAUAGAACACCAAUUGCGAAGGCAGCUUACUACAGGAAUAUUGACACUGAUGCACGAAGACGUGGGGAUCAAACAGG